CGCGUUCAAGUCGCGCGUGCCCGCGGCCUCCCCGGCACGCGCCGCCUACACCGCCGCACGCUCGAGGCCAUGCGCCUCCGCCGCUGCCACCGCACCGUCGAUCACCUCACCGCGGCCCCCUCCCUCCUCGGCAUUCUUACCCAUUUCAAGCGCCUCGUCGCCGUUGAGACCCAGGAGAUGUACGACGCGCGGAGGCACGCCGACGAGCUGCGCCGCGCGCCCAGGCCGCCGCUCGUCGUAUCGCACCAUCCUCCGAUGCCGACCGCGCAGUAG
This 273-nucleotide ribosomal RNA is filed under the name Triticum aestivum (bread wheat). RNAcentral's name for it is "partial small subunit ribosomal RNA". The record is from RNAcentral. Lineage: Eukaryota; Viridiplantae; Streptophyta; Magnoliopsida; Poales; Poaceae.